AAGUCGUAACAAGGUCUCCGUAGGUGAACCUGCGGAGGGAUCAUCACAGAAUUAUUUACACAGAAAAGAUUGGAAGGGGGGGUGUUGGAGUGAGUGAGGGAUUCGUCUCUUGCUCUCUCUCUCUCUCUCUCUUCUUCUAGUCUUUUCUGAACAAACAAACAUACAUGACUAGGAAAGAAAAGUGAAUUUACAAACAAGAAGUUCUUGGCUGAUAAGUAGCAUUGAUUUGGAAUGUGAAUCUAUAAUCAAUACAACUUUCAACAACGGAUCUCUUGGCUCUCA
RNAcentral lists this unclassified non-coding RNA (282 nucleotides) under fungal sp. RNAcentral describes it as "partial internal transcribed spacer region". The stretch from base 1 to 46 matches the Rfam family "Eukaryotic small subunit ribosomal RNA", at positions 1786 to 1831 of the family's 1831-position model. Lineage: Eukaryota; Fungi. The record is from RNAcentral.